RNAcentral lists this ribosomal RNA (636 nucleotides) under Clostridium botulinum. RNAcentral's name for it is "partial 23S ribosomal RNA". It matches the Rfam family "Bacterial large subunit ribosomal RNA", at positions 729 to 1365 of the family's 2925-position model. The record is from RNAcentral. Lineage: Bacteria; Bacillati; Bacillota; Clostridia; Eubacteriales; Clostridiaceae.
CCUAUCCAUGGCCAGGUUGAAGCGAGAGUAAAAUCUCGUGGAGGACCGAACCACGUUGGUGUUGAAAAACCAUGGGAUGAGCUGUGGAUAGCGGAGAAAUUCCAAUCGAACUCGGAGAUAGCUGGUUCUCCUCGAAAUAGCUUUAGGGCUAGCGUCGUGUAAUUGAGUAAUGGAGGUAGAGCACUGAAUGGGCUAGGGGCUAUAGUAGUUACCGAACCCUAUCAAACUCCGAAUGCCAUAUACUUGUAUCACGGCAGUCAGACUGCGAAUGAUAAGAUCCGUAGUCAAAAGGGAAACAGCCCAGACCAUCAGCUAAGGUCCCAAAGUGUAAGUUAAGUGGAAAAGGAUGUGGGAUUUCUAAGACAACUAGGAUGUUGGCUUAGAAGCAGCCACUCAUUUAAAGAGUGCGUAAUAGCUCACUAGUCAAGAGAUCCUGCGCCGAAGAUGUCCGGGGCUCAAACUUACCACCGAAGCUAUGGGUGUACACUAUGUGUACGCGGUAGAGGAGCUUUCUGUAUGGGUUGAAGUCGUACCGUAAGGAGCGGUGGACUGUACAGAAGUGAGAAUGCUGGCAUAAGUAGCGAGAAAUAAGUGAGAAUCUUAUUGGCCGAAAACCUAAGGUUUCCUGAGGAAGGU